This 902-nucleotide long non-coding RNA is filed under the name Marmota monax (woodchuck). The record is from RNAcentral. Lineage: Eukaryota; Metazoa; Chordata; Mammalia; Rodentia; Sciuridae.
UAGGCAUUUACUGAAGGUUAUUUUAAUGAGUAGAAGAAUGAGAAUGACCUGAUAGUUGCCUUCAAGGAACUUAGAGCCUCUAAAUAUAAAAAAAAUAAGUAUAUAGAAAACCACACUCAAGAAUAGACAAUAAUUAUGCACUAAUUAAUUAGAAUUUAGAGGUAUUAGAACUUGGAGGAAACACAAAAAUAAUUUGCAAGCAUGAUAUUUGGACUAUUACAUCAGAACUUAGUGUGGCAAGGUCAGGUGAAGUCUUCCUGAAGAAAGUCGGACUUGAACGAGCUUUACAGGAUUGGUAGGAUUUGGGUGUGAAUACAGGAGGCAUCCUCGGUAAGGGGAACAUCUUGACUAAUGUGAGGGUGAGAAGGCAUGUUUCUGGGCUGGUGAGAAAAAUGACCUCAUUGGAAAACAUUAAAUUGUCAUAAAUUUGGAUAGGUAGGUGGUAUUUAGGCAGAGUAGCUUAGAUUCCCAGAUGGCACUUUUGCCAUUCAACACCAAAACUGAUUUGCUGAGUGCUUCCAGCCAUAUCCAUCUGCCAGGAGCCUGCCUGGCACACUGCCUCUCAGCUAUUUGCUCAGAUGGUUUGACAGAUGCAUAGGUGGUAAGAAAUGGUGCUGUUAAUGUCAGUAAAGCUGCCCUCUGUGAAAGAUAGCAAAUUAUUAUGACUUUGAGCUUUAUAGCUGACGAUUUGUGAUGAUAUUAAAUAAAAAAAUGUGGCUUUAAGUUGUAUAGUACUGGCCGGGCUUGCCUUAUUAUCCAGAGUUCACUAUUGUGGUCACAAUGCCAGGCCAGAGGGCCUCUCUGCUCACCUCACCCACUAUGUCCUCAGCACCUGAGAUACCAGAAUCAAUUGAUUAUCUCUUUGCUCACUGUUAAAAAAAAAAAAAAAAAAUAUAUAUAUA